Molecule: long non-coding RNA, 1027 nt
Organism: Mytilus californianus (California mussel)
Lineage: Eukaryota; Metazoa; Mollusca; Bivalvia; Mytilida; Mytilidae
Exons: 3
Source: RefSeq, a predicted model, not a curated record
UAGUGGAUGAUGAAAAUAGAUAUCCUUCCAAUUCAAAUUAAUAUCUUAAUGUGAAGGACUGAUUAAACUUAACAGCAGAAAUGAAUUUUUCAGGAACACAGAUGGAGGAGUACGAGGAUUGCAAACACGUUGACGACCCAACAUACGAUACUGUGUAUUCAAACAGCAAAAUAUCCAAAGAGACUUUUUCCUCACGUAAACUAUGGAUUAAAAUUUUUAUUCUGGUCAUGACAACAUCAUUGGUGUUUUCAGUGUUAGGCGUGACGGUUACAUACCUUGUGAUGUGCGGAGAAUUGUGCGGUAAACCAACCCAAUCAAACAGCUCUACAACAGUGGAUCAACAGAUAUCAAUCAUAUCAAAAUAACUUGAUAAAACUCAAAUGAAGACAGAGAACUUAACACAACAGACAAAACUAGUGGCCUUUACAGCAUGCGUUAUUGUGGAUACAACUGUGCAAAAAGGACAAACCAUCAAGUUCAAAGACAUCAAAACCUCAUUGGGAGUUGGAAAUUUAUCAGAAACCAUUUCCUCAGGUAUAUUUACAACCAAGGAUACAGGGCUUUAUCAAGUCAUUGUUAUCGUAAAAACGCAUACCGAUGCAGCAGCCUUUACAGUCAACAGAAAUAACGCUAUUAUCGUAUCUGGUUACGUUGCUCAGCAUACCGAUAGAGGUGAGGGUACAAACUUCGACCACAUGGGUACGGCUGUUGUUAUGGUAUUCUUGUUUAGAGGUGAUACAAUUUCAGUUACACCUGAUAUCAAGAUAUAUCUGCACAAGGAAACCUGCUUGUCAAUGGUCAAGAUAUAAACUAUUUUUUGUCGGAUCGGUUGCCGUACAUUAAUUUUGUAGGAUAUUAUUUUUGACCAUGUAUUCAAUAUACAACAUAUAUGACCACGAAUGGGAAAAUCUUAACUGUAAAUACUAUUAUAUAAGAUUUAUCUGUUUGUUUGUCUUAUUUUGAAUAUAAGAAAAUGAUAUCAACGGAUCUUUUUCAAUUAAAGUUGCUGGAAUACAUUUCAUGAUAA